GGGAGUACAAGGUCAAGGACCUGUCUCAGGCGGACUUCGGCCGCCUCGAGAUCGAGCUGGCGGAGGUCGAGAUGCCCGGGCUCAUGGCCUGCCGCACCGAGUUCGGCCCGUCCCAGCCCUUCGCCGGCGCCAGGAUCUCGGGCUCCCUCCACAUGACCAUCCAGACCGCCGUCCUCAUCGAGACCCUCACCGCGCUCGGCGCCGAGGUCCGCUGGUGCUCCUGCAACAUCUUCUCCACGCAGGACCACGCCGCUGCCGCCAUCGCGCGGGACUCCGCCGCGGUCUUCGCCUGGAAGGGGGAGACGCUCGAGGAGUACUGGUGGUGCACCGAGCGCUGCCUCGACUGGGGCGAGGGCGGCGGCCCCGACCUCAUCGUCGACGACGGUGGUGACGCCACCCUCCUCAUCCACGAGGGCGUCAAGGCCGAGGAGGAGUAUGAGAAGUCCGGCAAGAUCCCCGACCCGGAGUCCACCGACAACGCCGAGUUCAAGAUCGUGCUCACCAUCAUCCGCGACGGGCUCAAGUCUGACCCCAAGAAGUACCGCAAGAUGAAGGAGAGGCUCGUCGGCGUCUCGGAGGAGACCACCACCGGAGUCAAGAGGCUCUACCAGAUGCAGGAGACCGGCACCCUACUCUUCCCCGCCAUCAACGUCAACGACUCCGUUACCAAGAGCAAGGUGCGUGACUUCCUUUGCUUGUCCUAGCGUGGAUCUAGAUCCUUGGUUACCCUUCUUGUGGAUAAAUGAUGGAUGCAUACAGCCUACUCUGCAGGGUAGCUCUCUAGAAGUGGUUGUUACUUGUUAGCUUGUUUAACUGGCAUUAUGUUGGAUAUUGAUCUGUGGUUUAGAUCUCUGGGCAGAUCUGUUAAUCGAGAUUGAUAAUGUCAUGGUUUUUCCCUGGUUAUCUGUGCCGCUCAGUUUCUCUGAUAGUUGUGGUUCGGUUAUCGAGUGGCUCCUAAAUUACAGGAAUUAUGGUCCAUGUUGACUUACUAAUAGUUUAUUGAUAACUUGCUGAUAGUAGGCGCAUGUUUGGUGGAUGUGACGACACUAUGACAUCAUAACACAUCUGUACCCUGUUUGCUUAGUCUGCAAGUAGAAGCAUCAUUCAUUUUGUAUUAAUAUACAUGUUUAGUUUAAGGUAUUGCACUGUAUGGCGGGUCUUAACUUAAAAGUGUACGCAGUGCGUUUCCUAGAUUCUUUAAUGUAUUCUUUCUGAGAUGUCUCUAGUAUCUGUAAGCAACUCCCUCCAUAUCUGUAUCCAUUAGUCUUUGCAGCUACAAAUAUGUUUUCUUUUAAACAGUCUGGCAUGUUACUAGCAAUGUAGUAAAGUAAUGCAACUGACAAGUUAAACAGUACUGAUGUGUUUCUACCUCUGAACAGUUUGACAACCUGUAUGGUUGCCGCCACUCCCUCCCUGAUGGUUUGAUGAGAGCCACCGAUGUUAUGAUCGCUGGCAAGGUUGCAGUUGUCUGCGGUUAUGGUGAUGUUGGCAAGGGCUGUGCUGCUGCCCUCAAGCAGGCUGGUGCCCGUGUCAUCGUGACUGAGAUCGACCCCAUCUGUGCCCUUCAGGCCCUGAUGGAGGGUCUUCAGGUCCUUAC
This 1597-nucleotide long non-coding RNA is filed under the name Setaria viridis. Its description in RNAcentral is "long non-coding RNA (SVIR_LNC001067)". Lineage: Eukaryota; Viridiplantae; Streptophyta; Magnoliopsida; Poales; Poaceae. The record is from RNAcentral.